This 881-nucleotide long non-coding RNA is filed under the name Gallus gallus (chicken). Lineage: Eukaryota; Metazoa; Chordata; Aves; Galliformes; Phasianidae. The record is from RNAcentral.
GGUGAGUUCUGCAUUUCAGCCAUGUUCUGGACAGUCACGCAGAUCUUUACAAGCAUGGCGUGCCGGCUCUUGGUCAUCAAUGAAACAGUGAAACUAUUGAUAAGGUCUGAUUUAGAGAGAGGAAGGUGAACUCCUCUCUUUUCAUGUGACUUUCAAUCCCAUUUUCAAGUUUUACAAAAGUCCUGAUCCUUCAUUAAAGUGAGAACUGCCUGAGGCCCAGGAUAAGCAAAAUCUGUUCCUUGCCUGGUGACAGAGCAAAAGGCUAAAAUCCUAAAUGCAAGAAUUUCUGAUUGAUGAUGGAAAUGUAUACCACAUACCAGCCCACUGUCUAUGAUUUAGGUCCUUUCAGUACCAAAGAUGGCACUUUUUGGUAUGGUCAGACCAUUACCUAUUAGCAAGAGAAAGCACUGGAAAUGUCAAAAACGUAUUUGGUGCAUGUUUUUCUCUGCCUGCAGUAAAAGUAUCUGAAUUCAUUGUAUUGAAUUGGAAGGUACUUGCUGGUGAGGUAGAAGAGCACAUAAUAACCAUUAUUUCUUGAAAUUCUCUAAAAUAGACAAAAUGUAGGCAGAUAGCGUAUAAACAUACCAUAAUCAGGAAUGUGAAGAAUAAAGAAUUUGUGCACGUGUGUUUGGAAUGUUACUGGCACUUUGCUCAUAUCUGCCUCUUAAGAAUAGCAAAUGAAUUUCAGUUUUUGAAUCGUACUCCUUAAUUGCGUAUUUUCUCAGUGUGUUUAUAUGUAUGUAUGUAUUUAUGCAUCUGUAUGUCUCCCUACGUAGGUAACUUCAUAAAUAACUAGAAAAACAUUAUGGUGGCUUUAUACAGCAUGCAUUAACAUACAUAGCAGUAACAUCAUGGCUAUUUGAGAAAAAUGAAGUAACUGC